Molecule: ribosomal RNA, 186 nt
Filed under: Triticum aestivum (bread wheat)
Lineage: Eukaryota; Viridiplantae; Streptophyta; Magnoliopsida; Poales; Poaceae
Description: partial small subunit ribosomal RNA
Source: RNAcentral
AUGGUGCGGGUGGCGACCUUCUUCGGGAUGACCUUCGGCGCGUUCCUCUUCUGGGAGUCCAUGGACAAGGUCCACGUCUGGAUCGCCCUCCACCAGGACGAGAAGCAAGAAAGGAUGGAAAGGGAGAUGGAGAUAAAGAAGAUGCAAGCAGACCUAAUUGCUCAAGCAAAAGAGAGUGAAUCAUGA